This 93-nucleotide transfer RNA is filed under the name Burkholderia sp. M701. Its description in RNAcentral is "tRNA-Ser". It matches the Rfam family "tRNA". Rfam says of the family: Transfer RNA (tRNA) molecules are approximately 80 nucleotides in length. Their secondary structure includes four short double-helical elements and three loops (D, anti-codon, and T loops). The record is from RNAcentral. Lineage: Bacteria; Pseudomonadati; Pseudomonadota; Betaproteobacteria; Burkholderiales; Burkholderiaceae. RNAcentral also lists the same sequence under 1 other name.
GGAGGUGUGGCAGAGCGGGUUAAUGCACCGGCCUUGAAAUCCGGCGAAGGGGCGUCCCCCCUUCCGUGAGUUCGAAUCUCACCGCCUCCACCA